This 381-nucleotide long non-coding RNA is filed under the name Malus domestica (apple). RNAcentral describes it as "long non-coding RNA (MDOM_LNC012924)". The record is from RNAcentral. Lineage: Eukaryota; Viridiplantae; Streptophyta; Magnoliopsida; Rosales; Rosaceae.
AUUAUGCAAUUCAUGUAGGGAACUUGUGGGGAAUGCUUUGGGUUGUUGUAUGCAAUCAUCCAAUUCAAUUAAAUUAGGAAAAUCUAAGGAUUAAUUAGUGCAAUUCACAGUUAAUCUGGGGCGUUGAGAAUUCAUAGUUUAUUGAAAAGCAACUGGAAAUUGUUUUGUUUGCAAGUGUGUCAUGUGUGGAGAAGAACCUCCUAGCUAGCCUUCCAUCCAUUCAAUUUACUCAAAUUCGUACAGAUUUCAUUAGUUCAUUAAUUUACUUGUUUUGUCUUCAAAUUCAUCAAAACCAAAACCCUCUUUACCUUGUUGAGUCAUAUUAGUUAGAAACUAAUUUAGUUUGUGUUUUUAAGUAUUUCGAACCAAGUUGAAACCAAA